This is a long non-coding RNA of Zophobas morio, 1625 nucleotides long. RefSeq lists it as uncharacterized. The record is from RefSeq and is a predicted model, not a curated record. The transcript is spliced from 4 exons. NCBI's taxonomy places the organism in Eukaryota, Metazoa, Arthropoda, Insecta, Coleoptera, Tenebrionidae.
CUUGUGCCAAACCACCCUUAUAAUGGACCCGAACCGCAAGGAUUAUUACUGUCCAUUGUUGCCAUAAUGGAGCUGUAAACUUUUACUAGGUAUAUGUAAACUGAGUUAAGUUAUACGAUAGCCAGUUUGACUUAUAAGGGUGCUUUGGCUUAACCCGCUAAAGUCAUAAAAGUUUGACAAGCUAUAUGACAAGUAAGUUUAGUAUAAAAUUCGCCUUUUUGCUCUAUUUUUUGUUGGGCAACUUCAGCACAAAAAUGAAUACGGUUUCGUCCAAACAAAUUUGAACAAAGUCCUCAUAAGCGAAACGAAUUCAUAGCCCUGUUUUUCCAAAAGUGAUUAAAGAUUUUGACCUAUUGGUAAGAUGGGCCACUUCAGCACACAUAUAAAUACAAUUUCGGCCAAGAAAAUUCACCUUUUAAAAACACUUAAAAUUCAUGGUGUUCAGCACAACAGUCAAAAUAUUAAGAAUUCUGUCCUGUUUUUUAAGGUAGGAGGGAUACUAUGCAAGCACAUGUAGAUAACAAUUUUUUAAGAAAAUUUAAAUUUGCCGCCAAAUUAGUUUCAAAUUUAAUUGUCUACUUGGACACCAGAGGUCAUCGUUUCGUGAUCGUUUCUAGAGACUAAAUAAUUGGGUCUCUAAUCGUUUUAUUCUAAGAUUUCUAGGGGCGUUCUAGUAACAGACUGGUAACAGUAGUAACUUUUGUUUCUUUUUCUUACUGUUGGCAUGAAACCUUGAUGAAAGCAGGGGGUGGAAACUUAAUACAAUGACCUUGAACAUUGAAAGCUUGUGGAAUAGGACAAGAGAUGGCACGAGUUAGGACCAGUAUCAAAUGCAAUGGGAGCGACAAAGAUAUGUAUAGAAUCAUAUUGUGCUCUUUAUUCGGGCGAGUCAUUAUCAAAACUAUAGUUCCUUUUAGAGAGUUUAAGUGUGCAUUUCUAGUUGUUAAAAGUACUCUUUUCUAUGGAUGAAACUUGCACCUGCACCCACCUGAAUUUUUUGCGUUCCCUGUUUUGAGAUUUUCCUUUGUGGGACUGGUUUUUCAAUAGUUUUGAGCAGGGAUAUGGUAAGAUGUAUCGCCAUAUCCAAGAAAUCGUGGAGAAUUACCCCAAUUUUCUAAACGAUGAUCAUGUAGUUGAUUGUACUUGGGAAGAAAAUGAGGAUGCAAAAAAAGCACCAUUUGUAAGAAUUUUACCAAAAUUUUUUUCUGUACAAGAAGUACAAUACAGGAGAAAAAGAGAUGGGUGCUACUUUGUAGUCAAAUAUACUACUAUAUUGACAAUGAAGGUGACUUACCAACAGGAAAAGAAAAGGUGUUGGUUGAUCAGAUAAAAAAAUUUGUACCAUCGAAAUACUGUGAUAACAGAUGACGAAAUCGAGCCCCCAAAAUGUGUAGUUAUCACAUAUGCAGUCUGUUGUAGAUGUAUAAAUUUGGAUUUUGAGCAGCCCAUACAAACAUCAACCAAAGUAUGGGCGCUAAAUAAUGCCCUAGAAAAAAUUCACAUGUAAAGGAGUCAAUAUGAUUCGUUGUUAAGAUUGUUAUUGUAAGUACAAGAGAUUUUCUCAACUGAGUGUUAUUAUGAAAAAUUUAAAAUAGUUUCGGAAAAUAGAUUUAAUUUUUUUAUAG